RNAcentral lists this ribosomal RNA (494 nucleotides) under uncultured bacterium. Its description in RNAcentral is "partial 16S ribosomal RNA". It matches the Rfam family "Bacterial small subunit ribosomal RNA", at positions 28 to 507 of the family's 1533-position model. The record is from RNAcentral.
GACGAACGCUGGCGGCGUGCUUAACACAUGCAAGUCGAACGGAAAGGCCUGCUUUCCCUUGUGGAUUGCGGGUACUCGAGUGGCGAACGGGUGAGUAACACGUGAGUGAUCUGCCCCCAACUUGGGUAUAAGCCUGGGAAACUGGGUCUAAUUCCCGAUAGGACUGCAGGGUGGUGCCUGUGGUGGAAAACGAUUUUCUAGUGGUUGGGGAUGAGCUGGCGGCCUAUCAGCUUGUUGGUGGGGUAAUGGCCUACCAAGGCGGCGACGGGAAGCCGGCCUGGGAGGGUGGACGGCCACAUUGGGACUGAGAUACGGCCCAGACUCCUACGGGAGGCAGCAGUGGGGAAUAUUGCACGAGGGGCGGAAGCCUGAUGCAGCGACGCCGAGUGGGGGAUGACGGCCUUCGGGUUGUAAACUCCUUUCGACCGCGAGGAAGCCACCUGGUUGGAAGGGUGGUGACGGUAGUGGUAGAAGAAGCACCGGCUAACUACGUG